Molecule: unclassified non-coding RNA, 309 nt
Filed under: plant metagenome
Description: partial contains 5.8S ribosomal RNA, internal transcribed spacer 2, and large subunit ribosomal RNA
Rfam family: 5.8S ribosomal RNA (bases 1-105)
Source: RNAcentral
GAAAUGCGAUAAGUAGUGUGAAUUGCAGAAUUCAGUGAAUCAUCGAAUCUUUGAACGCACAUUGCGCCCCUUGGUAUUCCAUGGGGCAUGCCUGUUCGAGCGUCAUUUGUACCCUCAAGCUCUGCUUGGUGUUGGGUGUUUGUCCCGUCUCCGCGCGUGGACUCGCCCCAAAGUGAUUGGCAGCCGGCGUACUGGUCCCGGAGCGCAGCACAUGUCGCGCAAACGAGUGCCUUGGUACGGCGGCGUCCAUAAGCCCCUCUCUCACGCUCUUGACCUCGGAUCAGGUAGGGAUACCCGCUGCACUUGAGC